This 512-nucleotide ribosomal RNA is filed under the name uncultured archaeon. RNAcentral's name for it is "bacterial SSU rRNA". It matches the Rfam family "Bacterial small subunit ribosomal RNA", at positions 463 to 978 of the family's 1533-position model. The record is from RNAcentral.
CAUGAGUUGACGGUACUGAAUAAGAAGCACCGGCUAACUACGUGCCAGCAGCCGCGGUAAUACGUAGGGUGCGAGCGUGAAUCGGAAUUACUGGGCGUACAGCGUGCGCAGGCGGUUCAGUAAGUCGGAUGUGAAAUCCCCGGGCUCAACCUGGGAACUGCGUUCGAAACUGCAAGGCUAGAGUGUGUCAGAGGGGGGUAGAAUUCCACGUGUAGCAGUGAAAUGCGUAGAGAUGUGGAGGAAUACCAAUGGCGAAGGCAGACCCCUGGGAUAACACUGACGCUCAUGCACGAAAGCGUGGGGAGCAAACAGGAUUAGAUACCCUGGUAGUCCAAGCCCUAAACGAUGUCAACUAGUUGUAGGUAGAGUAAAAUCUAUGAGUAACGUAGCUAACGCGUGAAGUUGAGCGCCUGGGGAGUACGGUCGCACGAUUAAAGCUCAAAGGAAUUGACGGGGGUCCGCACAAGCGGUGGAUUAUGUGGAUCAGUCGAUGCAACGGAAAACUUACUGGC